UUUGUUUGUUUCCUUCCACUGCAUAUACCUAGUUAUAGGUUUAUUAGAUUAGGUUUAGAUUAGGAUCCCGAAGAUGGAGAAGGCGUGAAGAUGGUGAAGGUCGAUGUCCACUCCGACUGUUAUCAUGUAAUGCUCAUUUUCCCGACAUAUGUCUCGGGUUUUAUGCAUUGUAUAAAGCUCAACGAGUUGCGGGUUUCCUUUCUUUCUCGAUUGUUUUCUCUUUUAUAUUCUUUAGAAUUGCA
This 242-nucleotide long non-coding RNA is filed under the name Eucalyptus grandis. Its description in RNAcentral is "long non-coding RNA (EGRA_LNC007277)". The record is from RNAcentral. Lineage: Eukaryota; Viridiplantae; Streptophyta; Magnoliopsida; Myrtales; Myrtaceae.